AUACAACUCCCGGCAUGCCUUGCGCGGCCAGGAAGGAACAUGGUAGUUGCUGUUUCUAGUGCUGGAGCAGAGUGAGAGGGACAAUGAAGCUGAGUUCUUACAACUAACGUUACUGGAGAACCAUAUUUGGUAAAUACACUGGCAGCCAAAUCUAACACAAGGCAACAGGAAAUAGUAUUUUCAGGGCUGUGAACAAAGCAGGUUUUUUUCUAUCACUACCCGUGAUUCAGACUGAUGUGAUCUACUUAUAGGACUGGAGUUCAGCAGCAGCAGCAGCCAAUCUGCACUGUCUCCAUUCAAUAGAGCCGGCAGGCACUAAGACCUGCUACGGCUCUCAGAGCUGCUGCGGAUGCGAAGAAAUGCCACUGCCUUCGCUCGCUAAGCUGCAGUGUACCUGGAGUAAAGCUAAGGUGCACAGACUGUAGGAUAGGAGCUAAAAGGCUGCAAUCGCUUGCAACAGCCAACAGGAAGACAAUGUCACUGACCAGGAGAGACCCAAGGCAUGGCAAGCAGGACUUCCGGUAGAUGGGGCACCCAGUGUGGCCGCAUUUUGCAUGAUCUCCAGCCCUUGAUGAUCAAACCAGCUUUGUAUCUGGGUUUUCCCCUUUGCUGCUGGUUACAGUAACAUUAAAACUUCCACAAGGAUUUUGAACCUGCUCUUAGGUCUGGAGACCCCUUCUCUACACUGAAGUCGAGCUUUUAUAGUCACAGUGUUCAUGA
Long non-coding RNA from Pseudophryne corroboree (corroboree frog), 720 nucleotides. RefSeq lists it as uncharacterized. Lineage: Eukaryota; Metazoa; Chordata; Amphibia; Anura; Myobatrachidae. The transcript has 5 exons. The record is from RefSeq and is a predicted model, not a curated record.